Molecule: ribosomal RNA, 253 nt
Filed under: uncultured bacterium
Lineage: Bacteria
Description: partial 16S ribosomal RNA
Rfam family: Bacterial small subunit ribosomal RNA
Source: RNAcentral
UACGUAGGGCGCGAGCGUUGUCCGGAAUUAUUGAGCGUAAAGAGCUCGUAGGCGGCCUGUCGCGUCGGUUGUGAAAGCCCGGGGCUCAACCCCGGGUCUGCAGUCGAUACGGGCAGGCUAGAGUUCGGUAGGGGAGAUCGGAAUUCCUGGUGUAGCGGUGAAAUGCGCAGAUAUCAGGAGGAACACCGGUGGCGAAGGCGGAUCUCUGGGCCGAUACUGACGCUGAGGAGCGAAAGCGUGGGGAGCGAACAGG